ACACCUGCCCUGUGGGAA
This 18-nucleotide small nuclear RNA is filed under the name Arabidopsis thaliana (thale cress). RNAcentral describes it as "snRNA_15065". The record is from RNAcentral. Lineage: Eukaryota; Viridiplantae; Streptophyta; Magnoliopsida; Brassicales; Brassicaceae.